UGGAAUAAUAACAUUAAGUGUCAUAGAUGGUGUACCUAAUAUUUUUUUCCCCCUACAGAAACACCUGUGGCAGUUCAAAUGUUACAUUUUUUCUACGUGUUGAGUUUGCAAGUGCAGAAGAAAGAGAUACAUUUUUAGACCAAAAUUAGACUACGUGAAAUGGAGUCCUGCAUCCCUGAAAAUGAGACACAGUUCUGUUGAAUUCUGUUGAUCUUUCUUCCCAAGAUCAUGCAUUAACAGCAUUCUGGCAGGAAUAAGGGACUUCUGACACUCCCAGCUGAAGUACAAGAAAAGGACUUUUCCCUGCAUUUUAGAAACCAAAGUGAAGGGGUGGACAUAUGGAUGCUUGGAUACCUGUCUAAUACAGCAUCAAGACAGAGCUGAAGCUUAUACCCAAACCUGGUUAAUUAACUUUAUGGUUCUCAUUACCUGAAUCAAAAAAUAGCUUUAAGAUGGCUGCAUGGAUACUCCUCU
Molecule: long non-coding RNA, 474 nt
Organism: Vidua chalybeata
Lineage: Eukaryota; Metazoa; Chordata; Aves; Passeriformes; Viduidae
Exons: 4
Source: RefSeq, a predicted model, not a curated record